AUGUGUGCCGGAGCCAAAUAUCAUGUACUUGUUGGAACCACCAGAUCCUCCGGGAACUUCUUUGUAACAGGCGCAGUAGUAGGUGGCGGAAUGGGCAGCUUUUGUCGUCGCUAUCCUCAGUUCACAACCACUGUCUGUCUUCCAGACGCUGAAGUCGUCUUUGUCAGGAUGGUUGAAGCGAUUAUUGGGUUGUUCAUUUUCUAAGUUGUACCGUAGGAUGAUUUGGAAUGGUUGUCCAUCUUUCUUCUGGAACCAGUAAAGCUUUUUUUCAUCACACUGCUCUGUCCCACCACAGCUCAUUGAAACCGAUUUCUCCACUCCUUUGCUCAAGAACAACUUGUCCUGGGUCAGCUGUGUUGCUGUGGUUACCAGCGCUGUAAACAAACAGAGCCGUGGAUUAAGGUUAAGUGCGUUGGUAUUUUUUGCAGCGAGACUGUGCCGGCUCCUGAUUGGCCGGAAACACUCACCUGAACACAGACAGCACAGAGCGGCCGGCAGCAGGAGAAGCAUUCUGUGGCGUUUCCUCUGGUGAACCUGGAGAAGCAGCGUCUGAUGAAGAGGACGACGAAGCAAUGGGGCCUCCUGCUUUCUAAUGGCCCCUCCCACCUCCCAUCAGCCCCUGCGUGGACACCAAACAGCCCUCAGGUUCUCACUCUGCUGUUUGUUCAUGUGUGUAGAAAAGGGUGUCUGGUACUGGGGGUUUUCCUCUAUUUAAUUUGAUGAUCAUGUAGGUCACAGGUGUCAAACAUGCGGCCCGGGGGCCAAAUCUGGCCCACCAAACCAUCCAAUCUGGCCCGAGGGAUGAAAGCGCAAAAUGCCAAAAUUCCACAGUCAAGGCUAUGGAACUCAUUUUAGUUCAGGUUCCACAUACAGAACAGAAUGAUCUACAGCAGGGGUCUCAAACUCAGUUUCGUUCAGGUUCCACAUUCAGCCUGAUUUGAUCUCCAGUGGGCCGGACCAGUAAAAUAAUAAUAUAAUAACCUAUAAAUCAUGACAACUCCAAAUUUUUGUCUUUGUUUUAGUGCAAAAACAAAACCCCAUUAAAUUAUGAAAAUAUUUACUUUUAUAAACUAUCCAAACAAAAAAAGAUGUGAAUAACCUGAAAAACUGAAAUUUCUUCAGAAAAAUAAGUGCAAUUUUAAGAAUAUUCUGCCUCAACUUAUCAUUUCUGAAAUCUCUAAAGAAAAUUAAGCACAGUUUUAAGAAUUUUCUGCCUGUUCCUCAGUGUUUAGUGUCUUUGUAGAUCUGAUCCAUAAUGCACAUGUAGAAAUGAUAAGUUGAGGCAGAGUAUUGUUAAAAUUGCACUGAUUUUUCUGAAGAAAUUUCAGUUUUUUUCAGGGUAUUCACAUCUUUUUUGUUUGGAUAGUUUAUAAAAGUAAAUAUUUUCAUAAUUUAAUAACAAAGACAAACAUUUGGAGUUGUCAUUAUUUAUAGGUUAUUAUGUUAUUAUUUUACUGGUCCGGCCCACUGGAGAUCAAAUUGGGUUGAAUGUGGAACCUGAAAGAAAAUGUGUUUUAGAUCCCUGCCUUACAUCUUUAAUUUCUACAGCUCAUUUCCUAUUUGUGGGUUCUUGUAUGUUUUGUUAAAGAGAACUUGAUGACCCAAUAAUUGUGAAGCAGUAAUAUGUGUUUGCUCUGUGGUCCACAUUUGGACGUUCCUUUUCUUCCCGUCGCUCACAGUCAUUUCCCUGUCAGGGCUUUGUGUGUUUAGUCUUGGGAUUAUUUUCGAGGCUGUGAACUCCAUGUUGACAUGAGUUCUUCAAACUGCUCUCAGAUCGCUGCAUGUACAUCUGAUAUGAAGUUGAAAUAUGUGAUUGUGGUUUUUCUUCCUGUUGAAUAUCUGGAGGUUUUUGUUCGGGUUAGCGGCGUUCUUUCUCACUGUGGGGAACUUCUUUAUAACAGGCGCAGUAGUAGGUGGCUGAAUGGGCAGCUUUUGUCAUCGCUAUGAUCAGAUUAAUACCACUGUCUGUCUUCAAGAUGCUGAAGUCAUCUUUGUCAGGAUGGUUGUAGCUACUUUGGGAUAUUUCAUUUUCUAAGUUGUACUGGAUGAUGAUUUCGAAUGGUUGUCCGUCUUUCUUCUGGAACCAGUAAACCUGUUUGACAUCACACUGCUCUGUCCCACCACAGCUCAUUGAAACCGAUUUCUCCACUCCUCUGCUCAGGAACAACUUGUCCUGGGUCAGCUGUGUUGCCGUGGUGACCAGGGCUGUAAACAAACAGAGCCAUGGAUAAAGGUAAGCGCGGUGGCAUUUUUUGCAGGGAGACUGUGCCGGCUCCUGAUUGGCCGGAAACACUCACCUGAACACAGACAGCACAGAGCAGCCGGUAGCAGGAGAAGCAUUCUGUGGCGUUUCCUCUGGUGAACCUGGAUAAGCAGCGCCUGAUGAAGAGGAGGACAGUCUUGCUUUCUAAUGGCCCCUCCUACCUCCCAUCAGCCCGUGCGUGGGCACCAAACAGCCCUCAGGUUCUCACUCUGCUGUUUGUUCAUGUGUGUAGAAAAGGAUGUCUGGUACCGGGGGUUUUCCUCUAUUUAAUUUGAUGAUCAUGUAGGUCACAGGUGUCAAACAUGUGGCCCGGGGGCCAAAUCUGGCCCACCAAACCAUCCAAUCUGGCCUGAGGGAUGAAAGUGCAAAAAACCAAUAUGAUCUACAGCAGGGCUCUCAAACUCAGUUUCUUUCAGGUUCCACAUUCAGCCCGAUUUGAUCUCCAAUGGGCCGGACCAGUAAAAUACUAGCAUAAUAACCUAUAAAUAAUGACAACUCCAAAUUUUUGUCUUUGUUUUAGUGCAAAAACCCCCCCCAUUAAAUUCUGAAAAUAUUUACUUUUAUAAACUAUCCAAACAAAAAAGAUGUGAAUAACCUGAAAAAACUGAAAUUUCUUCAGAAAAAUAAGUGCAAUCUUAACAAUAUUCUGGUUCAAAUUAUCAUUUCUACAUGUGCAUUAUGGAUCAGAUCUACAAAGACACAAAACACUUAGGAACAGGCAGAAAAUUGUUAAAAUUGUGCUUAAAUUUUCUUUAGACAUUUCAGGUUGUUCAUAUUUGUUCAGUUUAUUCACAUUUUAUUGUUACAGGAUAGUUUGUAAAUAUAUGUAUUUUCAUAAUUUAAUGUUGUUUUUUGCGCUAAAACAAAGACAAAUAUUUGAAGUUGAAAUUAUUUAUACGCAUAGUGUAAUAUUAUUAUUUUCACAUCAAACCGAGAAGAAAAUCUGGAGUCAUUCUUUUUUUGUCGGUUAUUCUGCUGUUAUUAUUUGACUGUAGAUCAUAUUGGUCUGUAUGUGGAACCACAACUAAAAUGAGUUCCACAGCCUUGACUGUGCAAUUUUUGCAUUUUGCAAAUUCAUCCCACGGGCCAGAUUGGAACCUUUGGCGGUAUGCAUUUGGCCCCUGGGCCACAUGUUUGAGACCCCUGAGCUACAGGAAAAUAAUAACAGCAGAAUAACCUACAAAAACGAAUGACUCCAUAUUUUCUUCUCAGUCUGAUGUGAAAAAAAGAAAAAAAAUUACACUAUGCCUGU
This 3515-nucleotide long non-coding RNA is filed under the name Sphaeramia orbicularis (orbiculate cardinalfish). RNAcentral's name for it is "lncRNA (ENSSORG00005003114.1)". The record is from RNAcentral. Lineage: Eukaryota; Metazoa; Chordata; Actinopteri; Kurtiformes; Apogonidae.